Molecule: ribosomal RNA, 253 nt
Filed under: uncultured bacterium
Lineage: Bacteria
Description: partial 16S ribosomal RNA
Rfam family: Bacterial small subunit ribosomal RNA
Source: RNAcentral
UACGGAGGGUGCAAGCGUUAUCCGGAUUUAUUGGGUUUAAAGGGUCCGCAGGCGGACCGAUAAGUCAGUGGUGAAAUCUCAUAGCUUAACUAUGAAACUGCCGUUGAUACUGUCGGUCUUGAGUAAAUUAGAGGUAGCUGGAAUAAGUAGUGUAGCGGUGAAAUGCAUAGAUAUUACAUGGAAUACCAAUUGCGAAGGCAGGUUACUAACAAUAUAUUGACGCUGAUGGACGAAAGCGUGGGUAGCGAACAGG